UGGAGGCGUGGCAGAGUGGUCGAUUGCAGCGGUUUUGAAAACCGCCAGGCCCGCAAGGGUCUCGGGGGUUCGAAUCCCUCCGCCUCCGA
RNAcentral lists this transfer RNA (89 nucleotides) under Planctomycetota bacterium. RNAcentral's name for it is "tRNA-Ser". It matches the Rfam family "tRNA". From Rfam's summary of the family: Transfer RNA (tRNA) molecules are approximately 80 nucleotides in length. Their secondary structure includes four short double-helical elements and three loops (D, anti-codon, and T loops). The record is from RNAcentral. Lineage: Bacteria; Pseudomonadati; Planctomycetota.